UAUUGCCGAUGUAGCCAGAGGUCC
RNAcentral lists this non-coding RNA (24 nucleotides) under Rattus norvegicus (Norway rat). Lineage: Eukaryota; Metazoa; Chordata; Mammalia; Rodentia; Muridae. The record is from RNAcentral.